Molecule: ribosomal RNA, 492 nt
Filed under: uncultured bacterium
Lineage: Bacteria
Description: partial 16S ribosomal RNA
Rfam family: Bacterial small subunit ribosomal RNA
Source: RNAcentral
AGUGAACGCUGGCGGUAGGCCUAACACAUGCAAGUCGAACGGCAGCACAGUAAGAGCUUGCUCUUACGGUUGGCGAGUGGCGGACGGGUGAGGAAUACAUCGGAUUCUACUUUUUCGUGGGGGAUAACGUAGGGAAACUUACGCUAAUACCGCAUAUGACCUACGGGUGAAAGCAGGGGAUCUUCGGACCUUGCGCGAUUGAAUGAGCCGAUGUCGGAUUAGCUAGUUGGCGGGGUAAAGGCCCACCAAGGCGACGAUCCGUAGCUGGUCUGAGAGGAUGAUCGGCCACACUGGAACUGAGACACGGUCCAGACUCCUACGGGAGGCAGCAGUGGGGAAUCUUGGACAAUGGGCGCAAGCCUGAUCCAGCCAUACCGCGUGGGUGAAGAAGGCCUUCGGGUUGUAAAGCCCUUUUGUUGGGAAAGAAAAGCAGCAUGUUAAUCCCCCGCUGUUCUGACGGUACCCAAAGAAUAAGCACCGGCUAACUUCGUG